UGUUAUAGUAAUAAACAGUAAUUGAUGGAACGGAUUUUAUAAGUUUUUGCUUUAUAGAUUUCUUUCAAAGGUUACCAGUUGUUUGUUACUCAAGGUUUGUUAUUGAAAGGAAUUUAUACACAUGCAAAACGGUACAGUUAAAUGGUUUAACGCAGACAAAGGUUUCGGCUUUAUUACUACAGACGAAGGCAACGACAUUUUCGUUCACUUCUCUGCUAUCCAAAGUGACGGUUACAAAUCUCUUGAUGAAGGUCAAAAAGUAUCUUUUGACGUUGAACAAAGCGAUCGUGGCCCACAAGCUGCAAACGUUGUUAAACUUUAAUUCGUUAAACAACCUUUAAAAAACACAGGUCUUCGGGCCUGUGUUUUUUU
Molecule: small RNA, 372 nt
Filed under: Agrilactobacillus composti DSM 18527 = JCM 14202
Lineage: Bacteria; Bacillati; Bacillota; Bacilli; Lactobacillales; Lactobacillaceae
Description: Lactobacillus composti DSM 18527 = JCM 14202 cspA thermoregulator
Rfam family: cspA thermoregulator
Source: Rfam by way of RNAcentral